GAACGGUACAAAUUCACCCACACAAUCAGUCUAAACAGGUAACGAUCGGAUGACUCUCCUCGCUCCAUGUCGACAAGAAAGAAUAGUCCAGAUUGACGCAAAAUGAGUAUAAAAAAAUCAUAUCAUAGAGGAACCCUAACCAUAGUCGUUCUGCCCUCGUCGGAGAAGAAGGACCAGCUGCUGAAGAAGAAGGCUGACCGCCAAUCGCCGCCGCACCAGAGCCUCCGGCGACUGCCAAAAAAGGUAAAAUUUGCCCCUACCCGCUUGAAAUUUGAUUUCGAGCCUUCCUGUAGCCAUAUCAGAGUAAAAGAGAAGACGGGUGAGGUAGAAAUCGCAAACAAAACUCGUUGGAGCUGCCGCGGCCAAAACCCAAAACUCCCUCUAAUAAGCCCCUUUAUGUUUUCCGUUUUACGUGAUUUUUUGGUCAUUGUGUUCAUCGUCUUUUUCUGUGCAAGUUAACUGAAGAAGAAACU
This 473-nucleotide long non-coding RNA is filed under the name Carica papaya (papaya). RNAcentral describes it as "long non-coding RNA (CPAP_LNC012477)". The record is from RNAcentral. Lineage: Eukaryota; Viridiplantae; Streptophyta; Magnoliopsida; Brassicales; Caricaceae.